UGGAGUUCUGGCCACCAUCUGAUAACAUUCUGCUCAGGCUUAAAUGGGCCAAUGGAAGUACAGGGACUACUUCAGAGCUGGGCAUAAGAGAGGUGCUCAUCAAAGAUUUGGGUCACAGUUCAAGCAAUGUAGUCCUGUAACAAUGCUGUCCUUAUACCUGCAUAACCAAAGCUUCCAGACACAGAGCACAUUUCCAUCAUGUGCUCCAACACACCUAGCCAUCAUGCCUCCUCAUGCAGGUUUGCCUACCUGCAGUGCCCUGCCCACUUGACC
Molecule: long non-coding RNA, 273 nt
Organism: Homo sapiens (human)
Lineage: Eukaryota; Metazoa; Chordata; Mammalia; Primates; Hominidae
Source: Ensembl